This 286-nucleotide long non-coding RNA is filed under the name Pelobates cultripes (western spadefoot toad). The record is from RNAcentral. Lineage: Eukaryota; Metazoa; Chordata; Amphibia; Anura; Pelobatidae.
UGUAUGUAUGUAUGUAUGUCUGUGUGUGUGUGUGUGUGUCAGUAUGUCUGCCAGGAUAUAUUUGUAUGUCAGCGUAUGUGUGUGUCAGUAUAUAUCUGUGAAUGUUUAAUGUCUGUCUGUAUCAGCCAUUACGUCUGUCUGUGUAUAUGUCAGUAUGCCUGUGUGUGUGUGUGUAUAUAUGUCAGUAUGCCUGUGUGUGUGUGUCAAUGUGUCUGUCAGUGUAUGUGUCUGUGUGUUUUAGUAUAUCUGUCAGUGUAUGUGUUUGUUUGUGUGUGUGUCAGUAUAU